GACGAACGCUGGCGGCGUGCUUAACACAUGCAAGUCGAACGAAGUGGCGAACGGGUGAGUAACGCGUAAUCAACCUGCCCUUCAGAGGGGGAAAACAGUUGGAAACGACUGCUAAUCCCGCAAACUGAAGGAGGGGCUUGCGUCUGAUUGGCUAGGUGGAGGGGUAACGGCCCACCAAGGCGAUGAUCAGUAGCCGGUCUGAGAGGAGGAACGGCCAAAUGGGGACUGAGACACGGCCCAGACUCCGACGGGAGGCAGCAGUGGGGAAUCUUCCGAAAUGGACGAAAGGCUGACGGAGCAACGCCGCGUGAGGGAUGACGGCCUUCGGGUGGGAAAGCUCUGUUAAUCGGGACGCGGUACCGGAAUAGAAAGCCACGGCUAACUACGUGCCAGCAGCCGCGGUAAUAC
This 408-nucleotide ribosomal RNA is filed under the name uncultured bacterium. Its description in RNAcentral is "partial 16S ribosomal RNA". It matches the Rfam family "Bacterial small subunit ribosomal RNA", at positions 28 to 526 of the family's 1533-position model. The record is from RNAcentral.